GAUUAUUUAGUUUAAAAUAAAACAAAUGUUUUGAAAGCAUUAAAUAAGAGCACUCUUAAUAAUCU
This 65-nucleotide transfer RNA is filed under the name Pinnotheres pholadis. RNAcentral describes it as "tRNA-Ser". It matches the Rfam family "tRNA". Rfam says of the family: Transfer RNA (tRNA) molecules are approximately 80 nucleotides in length. Lineage: Eukaryota; Metazoa; Arthropoda; Malacostraca; Decapoda; Pinnotheridae. The record is from RNAcentral.